This is an RNA transcript of Vespa crabro (European hornet), 1635 nucleotides long. It is a transcript of the gene named putative E3 ubiquitin-protein ligase UBR7, with no coding region annotated. The record is from RefSeq and is a predicted model, not a curated record. The transcript is spliced from 8 exons. Lineage: Eukaryota; Metazoa; Arthropoda; Insecta; Hymenoptera; Vespidae.
UAUGCUCUAUACGUUCAAAAAUAUUUAGAGGUUUAUGUUGAUGGUGUUUGGUGUCUCAGUUAACUGCAGAUAAUGACGAAGUUAAUUUAAAUUUCAGUCAGUGAUGCUUUGCGCUAGGCGUUUUUAAGAUUUAAUUCUAUAUAUUAUUCAAGUAUUAUUAAAUUAAUAAUUCACCGGUUCAUAAAAAUUUAUAUAAUACGCAUUUAAUAACCUAAUAUCUAAAAAUGGCCGAUAAAUUCGUUGAGAAUUCAGAGGAAGAUAACUCCGUUACAAUGCUCGAUGUUCUCCAGGAAGAAAGUCAAUUGGAAGAAGAUGCAUAUGCAGUCUUAGGUGCAUCCGAUGAUAGAAAUUGUACUUAUAACAAGGGAUAUAUUAGACAGGCACUAUAUGCCUGCAAAACAUGCAGUUCGCAAAAGAAUAUACGUGCAGGUGUUUGUCUAGCAUGCAGUUUUCAUUGUCACGAAGGACACGAGCUUGUUGAAUUAUAUACUAAAAGAAAUUUUAGAUGUGAUUGUGGAAAUUCUAAAUUUGGAAACAAGGAAUGCAAUUUGGAGAAGUCCAAAAGUACAAUGAAUAUUGAAAAUAUGUAUAAUCAAAAUUUUGAUGGCGUUUAUUGUACUUGUGCAAGACCAUAUCCAGAUCCUGAAAAUGAAAACAAUGAUGAAAUGUUACAAUGUAUAAUAUGUGAAGAUUGGUAUCAUUCUAAGCAUCUUGGGAGCAAAGAUGUACCAGGGGGUGACUCAUAUGAAGAAGUGAUAUGUGCUGAUUGCAUGAAAAAACAUGACUUUCUUUGGAGAUAUGCUACAAAAUAUUCAACAAUGCAAAAUUCUACUAUAUCAUCUGAAAAGGGGGAAGAAAUAUUGAAUGUUGAAAAUCUUCCAAAUGGUUGUACAAUGCCACAAAAAAGUUUAUCAGGUGUAACAGGUAGCUGUUUUUGGUUAGAAGGAUGGAGAACUUCUCUAUGUAGUUGUGAAUCAUGUAAAAAGAUAUAUAAAGAACAAGAUAUAUUAUAUUUAUUGGAUCCAAAAGAUAGUGUGCAGGCUUAUGAGGAAGCAGGUAAAAUAACUAAGCGAGAAUCACAGUAUGAAAAAGGUAUGAAGGCUCUUGCAUCUUUGGAUCAUGUACAGCAAUUAACUGCAAUUGAAGAAUACAACAAUUUGAAAGAGAGACUAAAGGAGUAUUUACAAAAAUUUGCGGAAAAUAAAAAAGUCGUUCGAGAGGAAGACAUUAAAGAAUUUUUUUCAGAAAUGGAGUCAAAGAAACGUCCGAAAGUUGUAGUCCCAACGUAUUGUCGUUAAAAUGAAAUAUUUCUCUUGUAAAGAUUAAGUCAACAAGAUUUUUAACAUUCUAAUUAAACACAAUUUUAUUUUCUUUAUUUUGAAGAGUAUCAUAGAGAUAUUAUCAUACCAAUAAGUGUAGUAUGAUUUUAUCCAUGUAAUUUUUAAUCAUAUCGAUCGAACAAUGAGGAAAGCAAUAACAAAAUCGCCUAAUAGCUAACAAUAAAAAGGUUAUCCUUUCAAAAUCUAUAAAAUUUUUAGAUAUGGAUAAAAAAAAAAAAGCAUAAAAAGUAAUAUUCUGAAAUAUGCCAUAGGACGAAUGAAGAAAAAGCAAGAUUAAUAAAUAAUGAACAUAGUC